UACGAACUGUGCGAACGUUAUUCGGAAUCACUGGGCUUACAGGGUGCGUAGGCGGCUAUUCAGGUCAGGUGUGAAAGCCCCCGGAUCAACCGGGGAACUGCGCUUGAAACCGAGUGGCUCGAGUCAGCUAGAGGUACACGGAACUUCCAGUGGAGCGGUGAAAUGUGUUGAUAUUGGAAGGAACACCGGAGGCGAAAGCGGUGUACUGGGGCUGGUCUGACGCUGAGGCACGAAAGCCAGGGGAGCGAACGGG
Molecule: ribosomal RNA, 253 nt
Filed under: uncultured bacterium
Lineage: Bacteria
Description: partial 16S ribosomal RNA
Rfam family: Bacterial small subunit ribosomal RNA
Source: RNAcentral